This 488-nucleotide ribosomal RNA is filed under the name uncultured bacterium. RNAcentral's name for it is "partial 16S ribosomal RNA". It matches the Rfam family "Bacterial small subunit ribosomal RNA", at positions 30 to 507 of the family's 1533-position model. The record is from RNAcentral.
AUUGAACGCUGGCGGCAGGCCUAACACAUGCAAGUCGAACGGUAGCACAGAGAGCUUGCUCUCGGGUGACGAGUGGCGGACGGGUGAGUAAUGUCUGGGAAACUGCCCGAUGGAGGGGGAUAACUACUGGAAACGGUAGCUAAUACCACAUAAUGUCGCAAGACCAAAGAGGGGGACCUUCGGGCCUCUUGCCAUCGGAUGUGCCCAGAUGGGAUUAGCUAGUUGGUGAGGUAAUGGCUCACCAAGGCGACGAUCCCUAGCUGGUCUGAGAGGAUGACCAGCCACACUGGAACUGAGACACGGUCCAGACUCCUACGGGAGGCAGCAGUGGGGAAUAUUGCACAAUGGGCGCAAGCCUGAUGCAGCCAUGCCGCGUGUAUGAAGAAGGCCUUCGGGUUGUAAAGUACUUUCAGCGGGGAGGAAGGCGAUACGGUUAAUAACCGUAUUGAUUGACGUUACCCGCAGAAGAAGCACCGGCUAACUCCGUG